UCCCAUAUGGUCUAGUGGUUAGGCUUCCUAGUUUUUUACCCAGGGGGCCUGGGUGUGACUCCCAUUAUGGGAA
Molecule: transfer RNA, 73 nt
Filed under: Alligator mississippiensis (American alligator)
Lineage: Eukaryota; Metazoa; Chordata; Crocodylia; Alligatoridae
Also listed under: 1 other name
Rfam family: tRNA
About the family: Transfer RNA (tRNA) molecules are approximately 80 nucleotides in length. Their secondary structure includes four short double-helical elements and three loops (D, anti-codon, and T loops). Further hydrogen bonds mediate the characteristic L-shaped molecular structure. tRNAs have two regions of fundamental functional importance: the anti-codon, which is responsible for specific mRNA codon recognition, and the 3' end, to which the tRNAs corresponding amino acid is attached (by aminoacyl-tRNA synthetases). tRNAs cope with the degeneracy of the genetic code in two manners: having more than one tRNA (with a specific anti-codon) for a particular amino acid; and 'wobble' base-pairing, i.e. permitting non-standard base-pairing at the 3rd anti-codon position.
Source: Rfam by way of RNAcentral